UUUGAACUUCUUUUGAUACCAGUUCCCUUUCCAUUCACCAAGUCCUUUCUCCUAUUACCCUUUCCCCUCUCCCUUUCUCUCUUUCCUCUUCACCUGAACCUAUCAAAAGAACCCAGCUUUCCAUCUCGCUACCAGACGACGAUGUUUUAAACUCCUUCAUCGUUUUCUCUACUUCCCCUUGUUCUUCUGCUCUCCAAUAGCUAACCGACAAAUACGAGUCCCCACCCAUUCCACCAAACAUGUUUAUCUUGUCUUUCAGAACAAAAGAAACAACACCACCAGCCUAAGCCUAAACAGAUCUGAGCUUUCUAUUUUGGCUAAACCAAGACUAUAGCUUGUUCUAUACUGUUGGUGGGUCUGUUUGUUUCCAAAGAUAACUUCACUGCAUUUUCUUUGCUUUUUCCCAAUGGAUGUUUUCUAGCUUCUUUCUUUUAGAGGCAUAUAUGUUUGAUUAUGUGUUAAGGCACAUACAUACAAUCAUCAUUUUUGAUGCAGUCAGUUGGUUCAAGGAAAUCAAGGAAGUGUAACUGCAGCAUUGCAACAAAUUCAGGCAUUGAUUCUACUAACUUUUUUUUGCUAGUUGGAAAAAGUUCUUUCUGUAUUUGCUGCAACAUUUUGCAAUCAAUCUCUUUCUGUUUCUUGAACUAAUAUAUAUAUAUAUAUAUAUCCUUGCAAGACAUUAAAGGUGACGUGAAUUUGGGCGGUCCACAGAGAGCCAUGCCCAUGGAUCCCUCAAUUUAUGGACAGGGAAUCAUGCAGUCAAAACCUGGAAUAGGAAAUACAGAUUUGAUGAACUGGAGACAGCAUUGAUGGAGAUGGUUAAGCAGGACAAUCGACGCCAAUUAUGUGCUAGGAUCUUAAUGCGAUUUGAGCAAGAUCAAAAGGAAACAGAAGAUGCUUGUAGAUUUGCCGAACAAAAUGCAGCUGCACAGAGAUAUUCUGUUGAAGUGCUUCAGGUUUGAUUGUGGCACGUUUAUGUAUUCUAUAUAUCAACUUCUAUAGCAGAGGCUUAAGUCUUUAUUUUGAGCAGGAACACAUGCCCUAUGCCCUAUUUUCGUUUAAGGACCGCCAAGAAAAUUCUGAAACUGAAAGCUGAUUGAUCGGAUGUGUAUGCCGGCUUUCAUCAACUACUUUCGAAGGCCUUACUAGGAAUUGAAAUGGUGUGCAAAGAGAUUGCUUCUUCUGAUCUGAUUUUUCGAUAUAAAUACUGGACAAAGAAUGGAUAUUUUACUGCUGUUAGUAAAAUAGGAUUCUCUUCUUAGGAUCUUAGUUUGUUCACUUGUAUUAGACUCAACAAUGGCUUGCAUUGCAUUGGUGUUGAUUUUACUUAAAUUUUGAAGUUUACAAUUUUUAAUUUUUAUUAAUUAUUUUCGUUUUCUCA
Molecule: long non-coding RNA, 1381 nt
Organism: Gossypium raimondii (Peruvian cotton)
Lineage: Eukaryota; Viridiplantae; Streptophyta; Magnoliopsida; Malvales; Malvaceae
Exons: 7
Source: RefSeq, a predicted model, not a curated record